Molecule: ribosomal RNA, 478 nt
Filed under: uncultured bacterium
Lineage: Bacteria
Description: partial 16S ribosomal RNA
Rfam family: Bacterial small subunit ribosomal RNA
Source: RNAcentral
GACGAACGCUGGCGGCGUGCUUAACACAUGCAAGUCGAACGGUAAGGCCCUUCGGGGUACACGAGUGGCGAACGGGUGAGUAACACGUGGGUGAUCUGCCCUGCACUUCGGGAUAAGCCUGGGAAAAUGGGUCUAAUACCGGAUAGGACCCUGGGAUGCAUGUCCUGGGGGGGAAAGCUUUUGCGGUGUGGGAUGGGCCCGCGGCCUAUCAGCUUGUUGGUGGGGUGAUGGCCUACCAAGGCGACGACGGGUAGCCGGCCUGAGAGGGUGACCGGCCACACUGGGACUGAGAUACGGCCCAGACUCCUACGGGAGGCAGCAGUGGGGAAUAUUGCACAAUGGGCGCAAGCCUGAUGCAGCGACGCCGCGUGAGGGAUGACGGCCUUCGGGUUGUAAACCUCUUUCAGCACCGACGAAGCGCAAGUGACGGUAGGUGCAGAAGAAGGACCGGCCAACUACGUGCCAGCCGCCGCGGUAA